This 600-nucleotide ribosomal RNA is filed under the name uncultured bacterium. RNAcentral's name for it is "bacterial SSU rRNA". It matches the Rfam family "Bacterial small subunit ribosomal RNA", at positions 732 to 1336 of the family's 1533-position model. The record is from RNAcentral.
UCCUUUAACUGACGCUAAAGCUCGAAAGUGCGGGUAUCGAACAGGAUUAGAUACCCUGGUAGUCCGCACGGUAAACGAUGGAUGCCCGCUGUUUGCGAUAUAUUGUAAGCGGCCAAGCGAAAGCGUUAAGCAUCCCACCUGGGGAGUACGCCGGCAACGGUGAAACUCAAAGGAAUUGACGGGGGCCCGCACAAGCGGAGGAACAUGUGGUUUAAUUCGAUGAUACGCGAGGAACCUUACCCGGGCUUGAACUGCAGGAGAACGAUACAGAGAUGUUGAGGUCCUUCGGGACUCCUGUGGAGGUGCUGCAUGGUUGUCGUCAGCUCGUGCCGUGAGGUGUCGGCUUAAGUGCCAUAACGAGCGCAACCCCUUUCUUCAGUUGCCAUCAGGCUAUGCUGGGCACUCUGGAGACACUGCCACCGUAAGGUGUGAGGAAGGUGGGGAUGACGUCAAAUCAGCACGGCCCUUACGUCCGGGGCUACACACGUGUUACAAUGGGUGAUACAGAGAGUUGGGUGCCGGCAACGUCGCUCUAAUCUUUAAAGUCAUCCUCAGUUCGGAUUGGGGUCUGCAACCCGACCCCAUGAAGCUGGAUUCGCU